RNAcentral lists this ribosomal RNA (370 nucleotides) under uncultured eukaryote. RNAcentral's name for it is "partial 18S ribosomal RNA". It matches the Rfam family "Eukaryotic small subunit ribosomal RNA", at positions 592 to 976 of the family's 1831-position model. The record is from RNAcentral.
CAAUAGCGUAUAUUAAAGUUGUUGCAGUUAAAAAGCUCGUAGUUGGAUUUCUGGUCGGAAGCUCCUGUCCUCUGAUGAGCGUACAAGUGCGUCCUACCAUCCUUCUGUUAACCUUUAAGGCUUUCGCGGCUUUCUAGGGGCUCAGAUAUUUUACCUUGAGAAAAUUAGAGUGUUUCAGGCAGGCUAGCGCCGGAAUACAUUAGCAUGGAAUAAUGGAAUAGGACUUUUGCCUCUUCUGUUGGUCAUGAGGCUCGAGUAAUGAUUAAUAGGGAUAGUUGGGGGCAUUAGUACUUAACUGUCAGAGGUGAAAUUCCCGGAUUUGUUAAAGACUAACUUAUGCGAAAGCAUUUGCCAAGGAUGUUUUCAUUAA